AGGGUUUGAUCAUGGCUCAGAACGUACGCUGGCGGCACGCCUAAUACAUGCAAGUCGAACGAAGUAGCAAUACUUAGUGGCAGACGGGUGAGUAACAUGUAGGUAUCUUCCCUUUGGUGAGGAAUAACACGAGGAAACUUGUGCUAAUACCUCAUAAGUCUUUACAGAGAAAGCUUUACGCGCCAAUGGAUGAGCCUGCACUUGAUUAGUUUGUUGGUAGGGUAAUGGCCUACCAAGACAAUGAUCAAUAGCUGAUUUGAGAGGAUGAUCAGCCACAUUGGGACUGAGACACGGCCCAAACUCCUACGGGAGGCAGCAGUAGGGAAUCUUGCACAAUGGGGGAAACCCUGAUGCAGCGAUGCCGCGUGAGUGAAGAAGGCCUUUGGGUUGUAAAGCUCUUUCGUCGGGGAAGAAAAUGACUGUACCCGAAUAAGAAGGUCCGGCUAACUUCGUGCCAGCAGCCGCGGUAAUACGAAGGGACCUAGCGUAGUUCGGAAUUACUGGGCUUAAAGAGUUCGUAGGUGGUUAAAAUAGUUGGUGGUGAAAUCCCAGAGCUUAGCUCUGGAACUGCCAUCAAAACUUUUUAGCUAGAGUAUGAUAGAGGAAAGCAGAAUUUCUAGUGUAGAGGUGAAAUUCGUAGAUAUUAGAAAGAAUACCAAUUGCGAAGGCAGCUUUCUGGAUCAUUACUGACACUGGGGAACGAAAGCAUGGGUAGCGAAGAGGAUUAGAUACCCUCGUAGUCCAUGCCGUAAACGAUGUGUGUUAGACGUUGGAAAUUAUUUUCAGUGUCGCAGCGAAAGCAAUAAACACACCGCCUGGGGAGUACGACCGCAAGGUUAAAACUCAAAUGAAUUGACGGGGACCCGCACAAGUAGUGGAGCAUGUGGUUUAAUUCGAAGAUACGCGCAGAACCUUACCAACACUUGACAUGUUCGUCGCGACUUUAAGAGAUUAAAGUUUUCGGUUCGGCCGGACGAAACACAGGUGCUGCAUGGCUGUCGUCAGCUCGUGUCGUGAGAUGUUGGGUUAAGUCCCGCAACGAGCGCAACCCUCACUUUUAGUUGCCAUCAUUAAGUCGGGCACUCUGAAAGAACUGCCAGUGAUAAGUUGGAGGAAGGUGGGGAUGACGUCAGGUCCUCAUGGCCCUUACGUGUUGGGCUACACACGUGCUACAAUGGCAUUUACAAUAGGAAGCAAAACGGCGACGUUAAGCAAAUCCUAAAAAAAUGCCUCAGUUCGGAUUGUACUCUGCAACUCGAGUACAUGAAGCUGGAAUUACUAGUAAUCGCGGAUCAGCGCGCCGCGGUGAAUACGUUCCCGGGUCUUGUACACACCGCCCGUCACACCAUGGGAGUUGGUUCUACCUUAAGGCAAAGGUUAAAAACUUUGACCACGGUAUAGUCAGCGACUGGGGUGAAGUCGUAACAAGGUAGCC
RNAcentral lists this ribosomal RNA (1435 nucleotides) under uncultured Candidatus Pelagibacter sp. RNAcentral describes it as "bacterial SSU rRNA". It matches the Rfam family "Bacterial small subunit ribosomal RNA". The record is from RNAcentral. Lineage: Bacteria; Pseudomonadati; Pseudomonadota; Alphaproteobacteria; Candidatus Pelagibacterales; Candidatus Pelagibacteraceae.